GGGUGAGGUCCGCGGGUCUCCGUGGCUCCGGAGGUAGCAGUGGGCCGUGAGGCAGCAAGAGCGUCCUCUGCGUGAGGGAGACAGGGCUCCUUGUCGGAGUGCCUCCUGGAAGCCGAGGACGCGGCUCCCCCUCCUGGCGUAAAGUUUUUCAUCCCAAUGCUGCCUCCUCCUCUUCCUCCUCCACGGCUCCACCCGGCUCGACGCACACGCGAAUGCGGAAACAUGCCCUCGUCAUUCCCGCCCUCCGACUCGUCCUUCUCCUUGGAGCUCAGACGGGGAGACUCCGGACACAUUUGACCGCCUUGGCUCCCUGCGCAUUUGGCGGCGUUGUGUGCGCCUCCGCUGGGGUACGCCGCGUUCUUCAUCACGGUGGCACCAGGCGCAGAUCUUCUAGUGGUACCUUGAAUGUGAGUGUCCUCAGCUCGACCGCAGGAAGAGAAGGAGUUGGACCCAGCAGCACGUCAGCGCAAGUGGAGGAAUGAUGAACAAGACUCAAGGGUCUCAUUGCGGAUAUGGAGGUGAAGGUUGGGAAGGAUCUAUGAGUUGCUACUGGCAUUCUCGUUGCCAGGUGAGGAAGAAAAGUUCAUCCCUGAUAUACCCGGUGGGUUUGUGGCUGUGUUCUGCCCGUUAAGACUCUUCCUGCACACGGGGCACGUAUCAUGCUAAAGGAAGAGGAAAUAAAAAACAACAUGUAAUGACAUAGACAGCAGAUUUCUGGCGUUAUGCAACUUCAACAAGCUGUUCUGCAAGGGUCUAAUACAACACGCAAGGGUACGUGAGGGGAAUGGACUUACCAACCACUUAGGUACACCUGCACAAUCUAUUAUAAGCCGUUGCAAAAACUCUGCCAUCACAAAGACAUAGGUGUUCAAUUACAAUUAUGAUUAUUAUUGCGGUCCAGCAACUACACUGCAUCAUACUGGUUUCAGUCUACAGUUCUGCCUAAUGAAGUGUUCAAUGAGUGUGUGUGAUGCACGUACCUGUUCCAGCCAUGGCACUAUACAGUCAUUGUGAAACAAAUGAUUGCAUGGCAGCUGUCGAACACGUUCUCCGGCGCUGUAGUCUUCUUUGCACACAGGACACUCUAAACCGGCGCCUGCACAAGCAAAACACGCACAAAACGCUUUAAAGUCAAUCUAAACCGGGGCACAGCAUUAGAAACAUAACUUCAGAAAUGUGAGUUGUAAUUACAGGCCACAAAUUUAACUUUUUAUGAUCAAGGCAAGUGUUGCCUUAAAGGAGGGCUCGUAUUUUAGGGCACCAAGGCAAAAAUAAUUUUUCAAAUCAAAAUAAAACAAAGCAGUUUGGAAAAUGAAGAUAAAGUCUAAUAAACAAGCUUUGUUCUUCUCCAACAACGCCUCCCU
Long non-coding RNA from Entelurus aequoreus (snake pipefish), 1364 nucleotides. RefSeq lists it as uncharacterized. The record is from RefSeq and is a predicted model, not a curated record. NCBI's taxonomy places the organism in Eukaryota, Metazoa, Chordata, Actinopteri, Syngnathiformes, Syngnathidae. The transcript is spliced from 3 exons.